Molecule: unclassified non-coding RNA, 1031 nt
Filed under: Hevea brasiliensis (rubber tree)
Lineage: Eukaryota; Viridiplantae; Streptophyta; Magnoliopsida; Malpighiales; Euphorbiaceae
Source: RNAcentral
UAAUAAUACUGAAGACUAGGGCAAUGGACCUGAUUCUCCGUCACCCAGCCUAUUUCCUGCAGUGCUGAAUACUUGCCGAGUGAUAGAAAGGCAAAAUCUGGAUCCCAGAAUAGAUAUUUACUAGACAAACAUUUUGGAAGAAUAUCAAUCACACCAACAGCAAUAAGCUUGCCAUCAACAACAUAUUGCUGAUGAAAGGAGCCAAAUCCACAAGGAGGAACUCUACCAUCACCAGAGGGUGGAACCGGAACUAAGGGUGUAUCAACCAGAAACCUCCUGUAUGAGAUUUCAGUAACAUGAUCUGGUGUAUCAUUAUGCACUGUCAUCUGAUAUCUUCUAUACAAUGCAAACUCUUCAGGAUCAAAACUGGAUCUUUUCAAAUGUAUCUCUAAUUUCCGCCUUUUCAGCUGAGAAUGUUUUGCACUCUUCCUCAUACAACAGACUUUUCUUUUACACCCUGCAGCAGACUCUUUAGAGCCAGUAACAAUUUGAGCACCUUCAGUGGAAGAAGCCUGCGUUGCUGUUGUAUAAAAAUUAAUGUGUCCAUUGCAAGCCUUGACGGACAACCCACUAGUUUCUGACAACUGAUUUAAAGCAGCAGCCAACUUUUCUGCAAUAACUUUAGGAGACAGAUUAUUAUUUUCUGCAUUAUGCCUUGGGUCAUUUUCGGCAGCUAGCACCCGCCUUAUAGUGGCUACUAUUUGAAAUGCAAUAUUGCUAGAGUACAAGAGGUCAUUUGCUCCUUCAGCUAGCAGCUUUCUUUUGGCUGGAGAAACCUGCUUGACAGAAGCUUUUGGUAAUUGUAUACUGCAAAGAAAAUCCCCGCUUUCUGCACAAGAACGGACUGCAUUGUCAACUUGAUCUGACAAAUACUUAGCAAUAUGCUCUGCCCUAUUCUUCUCCUCAUUUUUUGAAGACAAAGUGAAGACAAAGAUUCCUUUGUUCCAGAGCUUGAAACUUCAUGACAUGCACAGCUGCAUGUACCUUUGGAGACUUUUGGAUCAUCUACAACCUCCACUUUUUUAUUCACA